This 253-nucleotide ribosomal RNA is filed under the name uncultured bacterium. RNAcentral describes it as "partial 16S ribosomal RNA". It matches the Rfam family "Bacterial small subunit ribosomal RNA", at positions 524 to 776 of the family's 1533-position model. The record is from RNAcentral.
UACGUAGGGGGCAAGCGUUGUCCGGAUUUAUUGGGCGUAAAGAGCUCGUAGGCGGCUUGUCGCGUCGUCCGUGAAAACCCACAGCUCAACUGUGGGCUUGCGGUCGAUACGGGCAGGCUAGAGUUCGGUAGGGGAGACUGGAAUUCCUGGUGUAGCGGUGAAAUGCGCAGAUAUCAGGAGGAACACCGGUGGCGAAGGCGGGUCUCUGGGCCGAUACUGACGCUGAGGAGCGAAAGCGUGGGGAGCGAACAGG